AGAGUUUGAUCCUGGCUCAGAUUGAACGCUGGCGGCAUGCCUUACACAUGCAAGUCGAACGGUAACGCGGGGGCAACCCUGGCGACGAGUGGCGAACGGGUGAGUAAAGUAUCGGAACGUGCCCUGGAGUGGGGGAUAACUAGUCGAAAGAUUAGCUAAUACCGCAUACGAUCUACGGAUGAAAGUGGGGGAUCGCAAGACCUCAUGCUCGUGGAGCGGCCGAUAUCUGAUUAGCUAGUUGGUAGGGUAAAAGCCUACCAAGGCGACGAUCAGUAGCUGGUCUGAGAGGACGACCAGCCACACUGGGACUGAGACACGGCCCAGACUCCUACGGGAGGCAGCAGUGAGGAAUUUUGGACAAUGGGGGCAACCCUGAUCCAGCAAUGCCGCGUGAGUGAAGAAGGCCUUCGGGUUGUAAAGCUCUUUUGUCAGGAAAGAAAUCGCACCGGUUAAUACCUGGUGUGGAUGACGGUACCUGAAGAAUAAGCACCGGCUAACUACGUGCCAGCAGCCGCGGUAAUACGUAGGGUGCAAGCGUUAAUCGGAAUUACUGGGCGUAAAGCGUGCGCAGGCGGUUGUGCAAGACAGAUGUGAAAUCCCCGGGCUCAACCUGGGAACUGCAUUUGUGACUGCACGGCUAGAGUGUGUCAGAGGGGGGUAGAAUUCCACGUAGCAGUGAAAUGCGUAGAUAUGUGGAGGAAUACCGAUGGCGAAGGCAGCCCCCUGGGAUAACACUGACGCUCAUGCACGAAAGCGUGGGGAGCAAACAGGAUUAGAUACCCUAGUAGUCC
RNAcentral lists this ribosomal RNA (791 nucleotides) under uncultured bacterium. RNAcentral's name for it is "bacterial SSU rRNA". It matches the Rfam family "Bacterial small subunit ribosomal RNA", at positions 8 to 796 of the family's 1533-position model. The record is from RNAcentral.